This is a long non-coding RNA of Hylaeus volcanicus, 4348 nucleotides long. RefSeq lists it as uncharacterized. The transcript is spliced from 3 exons. The record is from RefSeq and is a predicted model, not a curated record. Lineage: Eukaryota; Metazoa; Arthropoda; Insecta; Hymenoptera; Colletidae.
UGGAAAAACAAAGUGCAUGUACGUAUGUACUAAUACGUGAAAAUGUCACAUACAGAUAACUUUAGAAAAAGAAAACGAUUACGACAGCAACUGACGUCAUUGUUUCGAACAAUACAAGCGUCAUUCUUAAUAAUUCAGUAUGAUAAUUAGAAGAUGGAUUUACCGUUCGCAAAGUCGAUCGUCAGUCACAUGACGCGGGUUGCGACGGUACAAUGACACCUUGACCGUCAUUCCGCGCGGUUCGUCCGCUUUCACAAUCGCCUAACACCGAUGCAGAAGCUCGAACAGUAUUUCCGAGCUUCCCCCAUCCAAAGAUAGAUCAUUCCAAUGGACACUGACCUUGCCGUUACGUAAUCGAGCGAAUCAACGCGUGGAUGAGAAAUAUUAUUAGAGGGCCGAGCAUUCCAUCGACUCCGUUGUUUUAGCUCCGUCGUGUGCCAUGAUCUCAGGAGAUGCAAGAUUUUAUCGAAAUUUUUGAACGCCCUGUACAGUUCGUGAAUUUCCAACGAUGACGACAGAGAUCGCGUGGACGGCUUACGUAAAAAUACUCUUGUAUUAAUAUUAAUCUGCGUGCUUCGUUCCCUGACGUUUUCUCGUACAGCAGCCAUCUUUAUAAACAGCCGGUCAGCUGACGGGCAUGUACGAGGAAGAUCGUACCUAUCACACGAAUCAUGAUGCGAGAUGGAUUGCACAAUAAAAUUCGAGUUUUCAUCGUUAGUCACGUUGGGUGUGAUUCUUGUUAUCCGAGAUUUGAACAACUGUGUCCAGAAGAAAUGCUCGCGGGGCUCUCGAUAAGAAAACACGUACGAUAUUGAAAUAAAAGAUAAGUAACGUAUAAUGCCAUGCAUGUAUAUGUAAACAGAGAAUUUGUACAUCUCUCGGACGUCGAGAUUACACAUAAAUAAGAAUAAGUUAUUAAUAGCCUGCGAAUAAUAAUGCAAAUUCAUUUUUCCGGAUAUAGAGUACUGAAACUCAAAAACAUCAUAAGCAUCCGCAGUUAUCAGCAUGGAGGCUUUUCAAUCUAAUCUUGCAUUAAAUUUUAUUUAAUAGUUAAAUGAAUAUUCGAAUAGUUGAAUGAAUAUUCAAUGCUAAUUAAAAUUCAAGAAUAGAAUAUUGAUCGUGGCAUGUUAAACGAUCUAAUUUUAUUCUGAGGUAUCAGUGAACGAGUAUCGUGUUAUGUAGUUGGGCGGUUCGCAUAACCAAGAGUCAGAAGUCACGCGAUGAAUCGCCCACUAAUAACAAUCGGAGCAUUCAUAUACAAAGUAAAAAUAAAGAUAUGGAUACAUAUAUCCGUUCGAAAAAAUGAUCGCAAAUUUAUUCAAACGCAUCUGAAUAAUUUUCGGUCACGUGUAUACAAAAUAAUCGAAGCAAGGUCGUGAUUGAACUUAUUUUCAUCGAAAAGUUCUCACCAAUUUAUUCACGAUACUGUCACGCGGUACAUAUAACGAAAUACAUGUAAAACAAAAAUUGCAAUUUUCACCUAUGUAUUUGAAAUGUUUUUCAAACACGACUUUCAUUUCUAAGACUUGACUUAGAUUUUUAAGAAGAACAAUUUACAGACUAAUUUCCUAACACGCGCCAUUUUUCGUUUCAUAUCACUUAUCAGCUUUAUUGUUCCGCGGUCCGCUGUCGCCAAUGAGGACGCAAAAAUGCACGCUAAUCGGCGCGUGCUGAUAAGCCCACAAUAGGUAUGCAAGAGUAAUCGCGCAUCUGCGCCUGGCAAUAUUACGAAUCGACUGUGACGAUUAAAACUCGCCACGAGUUCGUUAAAUUGACGCGUCGUUAUUCCAUUUUCAAGAUAAUUGAAGUGGCAGGGUAACCAAGGUGGAAUCUUGAAACGUCUCUGUUCUUGUUGAGAUGGAGCUCUGUCCCUUCGAAUUAGUAUCCGUCUUGCUCUCAUGCUCGACAAGAAUGAAGCGAGAAACGACAUGAUCGAAUCGUGUCCUCGUUACAAUGAGUGCUUCGCGCUCGUCACACACGCUGAAUGCGUCGCGAACAACGACCAGAGUCUCUCUGUCUUUAGAAGUAAACAAUAUACCCUGUCAGAGGCAUGGAACAAUCUUGUUUAAAAGACACUUGUUUACCAUGCUAUUUAUAUUUUGUUACUCGUUUUAUUUUUAAACAAUAGAAAGACCGUCUUGAAUUCCACCCUCAAAAAUUGCACUGAUAGAAAGGGUCCCUGAUUAGGUUCAUGGUCCCUGUAAGUCUUGAUCCGCCAUUGAAUGCGAUGUUUGCGAGUGUAUUAACGGACAAGUGUUCAUUCAAACACAGUUGACGAUGCUUCGGUAAUUAUUAUGUGACCAUGAAGCGCUAUUCGAGGAAUCUAAAAUUAAAUAGUCGUCCAAAGACAUUAAGUCAGGCGCAUGCUAAUGAUAGAGCAUACAUUUUAUGCGCGUUGACGACUACGUACAAUGUUGAUUAGCCGUGGAAAACCUAUCGGUUUCGUGCAGGGCGCAGUGCUCUAUUUGUAACAAUCUAUGCAAAUAUUUAUUCAAAAUAAGAUAGAACGGUGUUUUGACGUUUUUAAUAACAAUACUAUAAUACAUAUUUUAUGACAAGGUUCAAGGUGAUUGUCGAUACCAACCUAUCGACACACUACUGUUAUUACUAUACAGAAGCGCAAAAUGUAACUGUUGGAGUACUUAACUAUUAUCAUUGGGUCAUAUUUUAUUCAACGAAAUUGUUUCUUUGUUCAAAAGUGUACAUUACAAUAUGAGGUGGCGUUGUUUCGAUAAAAAUUGAUCGUUUCUUUUCAAAGAAAUAUUCUUCCUUCGGGUCAAGUGUGACCCAACGAUAGUAGUUGAACGAGAAAUUUACAAAAUUUAUGUGGAGCGUAUUUCAUUAAAUAAUACAGUAACAUUGCACAAAUUGAAUAGAUAUUCUCAUACUUCGUAAGUGUGUAAACGUCGUAAUCUGAUUAAUAGCGAUUGUCAUGUCGGGGAUUCCCUAAUAAAACUUCCUGUUUCAUAUUUAUGUCGCUAGAGGGUAGCCCGUGGAGCAACGAUACUUGAAAUACGCCGGUACUAACAUUCAUCUCGAAACUUGUCAUAAAAACACUCGAAUUACAAUUUUCUUAUCGAACACUUCAAAGUUUAUUUCACCCCACCGUACGUUUCACGCGAGAUAAUGAACUUCCCACUCGAGAUCAGAAAAUUUUAAUAUAGUUCUAUUUGUUCUCUUUAUUAUCAGCCGUGAAAAAGGUGGGCUGCGUUUGCAAGUGUCUCGAAGUUGAUAUAUUCGAAAUAGAAAGAAAUAGUAACCACGAAGGUGUGGUCACGCUAACGAAGCUGAACUUGUCGAGUGUACCGUUGAUGAUAAUAUGGGGAUCAGAUCGGUUCUGGGAAGACGCGGCGGAAGAGAAACGGAAACGUUGCGUUUUCCGCUCGGUUCCUGCGCGUUCUAUGCUGCGAACGUCCCGGCAUUAAACAGGAGUCGUGCGACCUUAAUCGAAAAAACGACCGGCGCGAGCGUUCUAGAAAGGAAACGCGUGUGCAGAAACGAGCUGGAGGAACGACACACGCCUACAAUAGUAUCCGUCGUCCUCGAGGACGGGACGAUACGACGGAAUGUCCUUAGUUGGCGCUGGGGAACUUCCUCCUGCGAUCCCGAUAGCAUAUUCGAUGCCGUAUCGAACCAUUAAACGAUCGCUAUAGUGCCGAGAUUGGCCUUGGAUGAAACUGAAAUUACGUGACCAGAAUGUCUGUCGUUUUUCCCCCCACAAUCUUUUUAAUUUUAGCUAUAUUUCAAUGUUUAAACGUUAAAUGUAAAAGGUUACUUUACUCUCAACCAAGAUUUUAUUUUUACCGAAGCUCAUGAGAAGCCAUUGCUUAGAAUGUAUACACUAGAACUCCAUUUAUAAGAACUAAAUUUUCGUCACUGCCUGAUUUAGUGAACUUUUGAGCGGAUUCCUAUUAUCCGAACCACUGCCACUCCUAUUUUAUGAACUGUCCCCCCAAUUAGGUUUGUAUAAAUGGAUUUCCACUGUAUACGUAACCCAUCCGCUGUAUUAUGAAAAUACAUCGUAGUUUCUCUGAACGAGCGAGCAUCGCAAAGGAUCGUAGUGAUAUAGAUAGAGCAGAAGAGACGCUUGCCUGUAAAUGGAAACGUCUGAUCGUUAGAAAAAGAACAAAACCACGGCACCCUAUCCAUCUCUGUGCUUUUAUUAACGCGAAUGUUAAAUAUUUGUGUAAUUAUUAAAAUGAAAUUAUUGUCAACAUAAAAACGAUUUAAAAAUGCGCCGGUGGAGAGAAUAGAUAGGGUACCACAGUUUUCUGUCUCUUUUUAGCUAUGAUGUGACCGGAGGUAUGGUUCCGCUACUCUGUCUAUAAUGCCUGUAUGGUGUAAACGA